UACAGAGGGUGCAAGCGUUGCUCGGAAUCAUUGGGCGUAAAGGGUAGGUAGGUGGUCUCAUUUGUCUGGGGUGAAAGCCCAGGGCUUAACCCUGGAAGUGCCCCGGAAACGGUGAGACUGGAGUACUGGAGAGGGUCGUGGAAUUCCUGGUGUAGCGGUGGAAUGCGCAGAUAUCAGGAGGAACACCAAUAGCGAAGGCAGCUCGCUGGGACGGUACCGACGCUAAGGCGCGAAAGCGUGGGGAGCGAACAGG
RNAcentral lists this ribosomal RNA (253 nucleotides) under uncultured bacterium. Its description in RNAcentral is "partial 16S ribosomal RNA". It matches the Rfam family "Bacterial small subunit ribosomal RNA", at positions 524 to 776 of the family's 1533-position model. The record is from RNAcentral.